This 400-nucleotide ribosomal RNA is filed under the name uncultured bacterium. RNAcentral's name for it is "bacterial SSU rRNA". It matches the Rfam family "Bacterial small subunit ribosomal RNA", at positions 356 to 773 of the family's 1533-position model. The record is from RNAcentral.
GGGGAAUAUUGGACAAUGGGGGCAACCCUGAUCCAGCCAUGCCGCGUGAGUGAUGAAGGCCUUAGGGUUGUAAAACUCUUUUGUCCGGGAAGAUAAUGACUGUACCGGAAGAAUAAGCCCCGGCUAACUUCGUGCCAGCAGCCGCGGUAAUACGAAGGGGGCUAGCGUUGUUCGGAAUCACUGGGCGUAAAGCGCACGUAGGCGGAUCGUUAAGUCAGAGGUGAAAUCCCGGAGCUCAACUUCGGAACUGCCUUUGAUACUGGCGAUCUCGAGUUUGGAAGAGGUUGGUGGAACUGCGAGUGUAGAGGUGAAAUUCGUAGAUAUUCGCAAGAACACCAGUGGCGAAGGCGGCCAACUGGUCCAAUACUGACGCUGAGGUGCGAAAGCGUGGGGAGCAAAC